AGUGAACGCUGGCGGUAGGCCUAACACAUGCAAGUCGAACGGCAGCACAGUAAGAGCUUGCUCUUACGGGUGGCGAGUGGCGGACGGGUGAGGAAUACAUCGGAAUCUACUUUUUCGUGGGGGAUAACGUAGGGAAACUUACGCUAAUACCGCAUACGACCUACGGGUGAAAGCAGGGGAUCUUUGGACCUUGCGCGAUUGAAUGAGCCGAUGUCGGAUUAGCUAGUUGGCGGGGUAAAGGCCCACCAAGGCGACGAUCCGUAGCUGGUCUGAGAGGAUGAACAGCCACACUGGAACUGAGACACGGUCCAGACUCCUACGGGAGGCAGCAGUGGGGAAUAUUGGACAAAGGGCGCAAGCCUGAUCCAGCCAUACCGCGUGGGUGAAGGAGGCCUUCGGGUUGUAAAGCCCUUUUGUUGGGAAAGAAAAGCAGCAGGUUAAUACCCCGCUGUUCUGACGGUACCCAAAGAAUAAGCACCGGCUAACUUCGUG
Molecule: ribosomal RNA, 492 nt
Filed under: uncultured bacterium
Lineage: Bacteria
Description: partial 16S ribosomal RNA
Rfam family: Bacterial small subunit ribosomal RNA
Source: RNAcentral